RNAcentral lists this long non-coding RNA (224 nucleotides) under Elaeis guineensis (African oil palm). RNAcentral's name for it is "long non-coding RNA (EGUI_LNC013478)". The record is from RNAcentral. Lineage: Eukaryota; Viridiplantae; Streptophyta; Magnoliopsida; Arecales; Arecaceae.
CAUUAUGGUUGAAUAGAAGGCCCUUCCAAGCUGCAAGUUGUUGCUGAUGGAUAUUUUUCUAUGUCAAAUUAAUGGAUGUAUUCUAGUGAUUCCAUGAUAGUAAAAGUCAAAGAUGACCAUAUUCUUCUCUUUUGUUAAUUAAGCUUCACCAUAUAAAUCAUUUGAUAGCGGCCAUCCUAACUUUUUGAAAAUAUUAUAUAUAUAUAUAGGAGUAGAUUUGGAUA